GACGAACGCUGGCGGUGUGCUUCACACAUGCAAGUCGAACGAGGUAGCAAUACCUAGUGGCGGACGGGUGAGUAACGCGUGGGAAUCUGCCUUUAGAUGGGGGGAUAACGGGUCGAAAGACUCGCUAAUACCGCAUAUGACGAAAGUUGAAAGGAGUAAUCCGUCUAAAGAUGAGCCCGCGUCCGAUUAGCUAGUUGGUAGAGUAAAAGCCUACCAAGGCGACGAUCGGUAGCUGGUCUGAGAGGAUGAUCAGCCACAAAUGGGACUGAGACACGGCCCAUACUCCUACGGGAGGCAGCAGUGGGGAAUUUUACGCAAUGGGCGAAAGCCUGACGUAGCGACACCGCGUGAGCGAAGAAGCCCCUUGGGGUGUAAAGCUCUGUCAGCUGGAACGAAAAAAUGACGGUACCAGCAGAGGAAGCAUCGGCUAACUACGUG
RNAcentral lists this ribosomal RNA (438 nucleotides) under uncultured bacterium. RNAcentral describes it as "bacterial SSU rRNA". It matches the Rfam family "Bacterial small subunit ribosomal RNA", at positions 28 to 507 of the family's 1533-position model. The record is from RNAcentral.